UUGUGUUGUGUUGUUUUGUUUGUUUUUAAGCGUUAACACCGUCGACGAAGGGCGCGAGCCUCUUGCGAGUUUGCGGUCGAAUUUGACAAUGACUCUUACAGCUGUUAGCUGAGAUUGGAAAGCGAGUUUAUUGAUUCCCCUUGCCAAAAGCGGGCCCUCUGCUGGAGUUUGAGACCGAAAUGUUUCUGAGCCCGUCCAGUUGUGACGGGCUGCUCGUGGUGGCGGAGGGGCUGGGAAGAGACCGCAUUCUGCUGGAGUUUCAUGCGGUGGACUCGGAACAAGGAGGCCUGGUUCUACGACUUCACGCUACCACCCCUGAACAACUCAGCACCCCCGCGCAGCUCAACACCACAAAGAAAUUUUGAUCAGAUUCAGAAAAAAAUAGCAUGCGGUUCUUCAGCCCCCGGCCCCGUUGGGACCAGCAGAGAGCACCCCGCAAGCAUCCAGACGCGACUUGCGGACUUGCGUCUCAACUUUUCCAGCGGAGUUGCCCUGAUCUACAAAGCAUCUUGAAACAAUGAAUAAAGUUGGCUUGCACGUUUGGAA
Molecule: long non-coding RNA, 546 nt
Organism: Hippocampus comes (tiger tail seahorse)
Lineage: Eukaryota; Metazoa; Chordata; Actinopteri; Syngnathiformes; Syngnathidae
Exons: 2
Source: RefSeq, a predicted model, not a curated record